UGGAUCCAGACUUUGAUCAUGGCUCAGGAUGAACGCUAGCUACAGGCUUAACACAUGCAAGUCGAGGGGAAACGACAUCGAAAGCUUGCUUUUGAUGGGCGUCGACCGGCGCACGGGUGAGUAACGCGUAUCCAACCUGCCCACCACUUGGGGAUAACCUUGCGAAAGUAAGACUAAUACCCAAUGAUAUCUCUAGAAGACAUCUGAAAGAGAUUAAAGAUUUAUCGGUGAUGGAUGGGGAUGCGUCUGAUUAGCUUGUUGGCGGGGUAACGGCCCACCAAGGCGACGAUCAGUAGGGGUUCUGAGAGGAAGGUCCCCCACAUUGGAACUGAGACACGGUCCAAACUCCUACGGGAGGCAGCAGUGAGGAAUAUUGGUCAAUGGGCGAGAGCCUGAACCAGCCAAGUAGCGUGCAGGAUGACGGCCCUAUGGGUUGUAAACUGCUUUUAUAAGGGAAUAAAGUGAGUCUCGUGAGACUUUUUGCAUGUACCUUAUGAAUAAGGACCGGCUAAUUCCGUGCCAGCAGCCGCGGUAAUACGGAAGGUCCGGGCGUUAUCCGG
Molecule: ribosomal RNA, 560 nt
Filed under: uncultured organism
Description: bacterial SSU rRNA
Rfam family: Bacterial small subunit ribosomal RNA
Source: RNAcentral